This 485-nucleotide ribosomal RNA is filed under the name uncultured bacterium. RNAcentral describes it as "bacterial SSU rRNA". It matches the Rfam family "Bacterial small subunit ribosomal RNA", at positions 28 to 507 of the family's 1533-position model. The record is from RNAcentral.
GAUGAACGCUAGCUACAGGCUUAACACAUGCAAGUCGAGGGGCAGCAUUAGGUAGCAAUACUGAGAUGGCGACCGGCGCACGGGUGCGUAACGCGUAUCCAACCUUCCCGUUACUCUUGGAUAGCCUUCCGAAAGGGAGAUUAAUACAAGAUGGUGUUGAAAUUCCGCAUGUUAUUUCAACUAAAGAUUUAUCGGUAACGGAUGGGGAUGCGUGACAUUAGGUAGUUGGGGGUGUAACGGACCACCAAGCCGACGAUGUCUAGGGGUUCUGAGAGGAAGGUCCCCCACACUGGUACUGAGACACGGACCAGACUCCUACGGGAGGCAGCAGUGAGGAAUAUUGGUCAAUGGGCGAGAGCCUGAACCAGCCAAGUCGCGUGAGGGAUGACGGUACUAAGUAUUGUAAACCUCUUUUGUCAGGGAACAAAGAGACCACGUGUGGUAAGAUGAGUGUACCUGAAGAAAAAGCAUCGGCUAACUCCGUG